UUUGCAUUUUCUUAUUAAUUUCCCAAAUUAGACCCACCACUGAACCCGCCAACGCGUUCAUCUCUCUCUCUAACAUAACAGCAUUUUCUCUCUCUUACCUCCUUCGUCCCCCAUUUCUGAGAGAAAAAACAGGGGGCAAUUUAUGACCCGAUUUUAAAAUCCUCCAUACCCGACCCGUUUCCCUCCAUAAUCACCCGGUCGUCUCCAUUACAUGUUCCCCUAAUUCCUGGGGGGCAUCAUUAUCACCUCCAACUUUUCCUAUUUUGUUUUUCCCUUUCAAAUUUCUGGAAGAAAUAAACAUACUGGAAUUGUACCCAUUUUGUUGAUCCCUCAAAAAUCAGAGAAUAUUGGUGGGUGCCAUCAUUGCAAAUUUAUGAAUCUCAUUAUGCCCAAUUGUUGAUUAUGGUGAAGAAUUUGCUUAAUUUGAGAAAGACCCAGAUGCUCAAUUGUUAAAUAUCUGACAUUUUCUUGAAUUUGGAGAAGAUUUUGCUUAAUUGGAGAAGAAACCAGCUGCCCAAUUGUUAAAUCUCCAACAUUUUCUUGAAUUGGAAGAAGAUUUUGCUUAAUUUAAGAAGGACCCAGAUGCCCAAUUGUUGAAUAUCUGACAUUUUCUUGAAUUGGGAGAAGAUUUUGCUUAAUUUGAGAAAGACAGAGGUGUUCGAUUGUUAAGGAUCCGGCAUUUUGUUGAAUUUGGUGAAGAUUUUGGAUUCCCAUUUGCUUAAGCCCCGGUAUUUUGUUGAAUUUGGUGAAGAUUUUGCUUAAUUUGAGAAAGACCCAGAUGCCAGGAGGCUUUGGAGAGGCUUAUGGAUAUUGAAGAUUCACAUAGUUGAAACCCCAAUCAGCUUUCACUCGAGGCUUAGUGAUCAAUUUGCCCAUGUAUGGAUUCGCCAUUGUUGAUCUUAACUUUGGGUGUUUGCUUUUGCUUUCUUGCUUUCCCUGUGCAAUCUCAGCAAAAUGUGAAUCCGGGAUCAAAAUCAGCUCCUCCCCCAUCUAAUAAAUCUCUACCACGGCCUCCUCCGCCUCUGCCAUCACCAUCACGACGGCCUUCUGUGCCACCACAGAGUCGUCACCAUGCUCCGCCACCUACAAUGCAUUCUUCUCCGAAGAUGGCACCCACCUCGGAGAGUAAACCCUCUAACCACGAUAAAAACAACCAUAAAUCUCCGGCGAAUUCGCCUCCACCCGUGAAGAAAAAGAAGAAGAUAAAUUGGGGGAAGAUACUGGGGUUCGUGUUUGUGGGUGUUGCUGCGGUCUUGCAGGUUGUUGUGGUGGCGUUCUUGCUAAUAAAGAGAAGACAAUUGUUAAAGGCUGGUACUGGAUUGUGAAGGAACAUUUGAAUAUGGGAUGUAUAUCAACUACCGUUUGUUUUAGCAGUUAGUCUAAUUAAUUCAGAUCUUUAAGAGAAAGCUAUGCAAUGAGCAUUGAGCAUGGCAUUAAUGAAGUAGAAGGAUUAAGGAUUCGACUGAAAUGUUGAUUUCUGCAUUUGCGUCGGUCGCUACUGUAAAUUAGGUCUCAAAGUUGUAAGAUGACAUCUUGCUUCCUUUGUCAACUUUAAGGAACUGUGUUGGAUUUGUUCUGGAGAACAGAAUGUUACGUCUUCUCUGUCCGGUGAGUAAAGAAUGUUGUAGGGAAACGAGUAUACUGUUGAUGGAGGCAUGACCUGUCAUCAUCGAAACUGAAAUAUGAUUUCUAAUGUAGAGGUUAAAUUAAACACUAUAAAACUCUAUUAACUAUUGUUAUAGUCUAACUGAUGUAUGUUACACUGCAAAAUAACAAUAUCUACCUUGAUUCUUGAA
This is a long non-coding RNA of Capsicum annuum, 1796 nucleotides long. RefSeq lists it as uncharacterized. The transcript is spliced from 2 exons. NCBI's taxonomy places the organism in Eukaryota, Viridiplantae, Streptophyta, Magnoliopsida, Solanales, Solanaceae. The record is from RefSeq and is a predicted model, not a curated record.